RNAcentral lists this transfer RNA (85 nucleotides) under Felis catus (domestic cat). It matches the Rfam family "tRNA". Rfam says of the family: Transfer RNA (tRNA) molecules are approximately 80 nucleotides in length. Lineage: Eukaryota; Metazoa; Chordata; Mammalia; Carnivora; Felidae. The record is from Rfam by way of RNAcentral.
GCCUGGGUAGCUCAGUCUGUUAAGCUUCUGACUUCAGCUCAGAUCAUGAUCUCACGGUUUGUGGGUUCAAGCCCCUCAUCGGGCU